This 433-nucleotide ribosomal RNA is filed under the name uncultured bacterium. RNAcentral's name for it is "partial 16S ribosomal RNA". It matches the Rfam family "Bacterial small subunit ribosomal RNA", at positions 29 to 507 of the family's 1533-position model. The record is from RNAcentral.
AACGAACGCUGGCGGCAUGCCUAACACAUGCAAGUCGAACGAGACCUUCGGGUCUAGGGGCGCACGGGUGCGUAACGCGUGGGAACCUGCCCUUAGGUUCGGAAUAACUCCCCGAAAGGGGUGCUAAUACCGGAUAAUGUCUUCGGACCAAAGAUUUAUCGCCUUUGGAGGGACCAGCGUUGGAUUAGCUAGUUGGUAGGGUAAAAGCCUACCAAGGCGACGAUCCAUAGCUGGUCUGAGAGGAUGAUCAGCCACACUGGGACUGAGACACGGCCCAGACUCCUACGGGAGGCAGCAGUGGGGAAUAUUGGACCAUGGGCGAAAGCCUGAUCCAGCAAUGCCGCGUGAGUGAUGAAGGCCUUAGGGUUGUAAAGCUCUUUUACCCGGGAUGAUAAUGACAGUACCGGGAGAAUAAGCUCCGGCUAACUCCGUG